Molecule: long non-coding RNA, 476 nt
Organism: Physella acuta
Lineage: Eukaryota; Metazoa; Mollusca; Gastropoda; Physidae
Source: RefSeq, a predicted model, not a curated record
GAUCAGAUGACAAUCCAAUUUGUCAUGAUGUGAUGACAUAGACAUAGGGAAAUAUCAAUGCUAGCAGCUAGUCACUGAUAGGUACAGUAAAUUCCUACACAUCAGAAUGGAAUAAUCUUUGUGCUCAAAUAUGGCAUGCUCUGUCUGAGUACAUUCACAACCUAUAAAAGACAAGAGGAAAUAAAGGGUACACAUUUGCUAAAUAGGAGAGAAAGCUGCAGGAUAUUGAGUUGUUUUUAAAUUUAUUUAUUGUAAUGGGCUAUCAUGUAAUCAAAUAUUUUCUUUUAGAAUUGAACUUGUAAUUGAAAUGAACUAUAUGUCUCCUAUAUAUUGUCCCAUUUAAACAGAUGGUAUGAUAGCUGUGGUCUUGUUUAAUGUCUUAAUUUAUGAAGUUUUAUUCAAUUUACUAUGUAUUGAUCGAAAUUAGUAUGUAUGAACAUUAUUUUUUCUAAUUAAAUUACGUGAAUGACUUUAUA